UGAGCACUGCGCAUGUGCGGGUGUACAGUUGAACUCAGGUGGCUUUUGGACCCAAAAUAAUUUUGUGGAAACACGUUUGCAUUAAAAUGAAACCAACAAAUGAACGCCAGCUACAGUAACGGCAGCGAAAAGGUUUGCGAACGGACAGACUUUAAACAGCAGAAGAGGCGGAGUAGCUAAAGACUGACUGUUUUGGUUUUAUUUUUUCGCGGAGCUAAUAUUAAUGCUAGCUAACAAUGCUAACAACAACAACACCGGCACGAAGCUGUGAAAUGACCCGUCAGCUCAUUGCACUGGAAUUAACUCUACUGCACGGAAGAAAGUCCAAGAAGAAACACCUGUUUCAAGUCUUAAAGUGCUUCUCCAGCGACUGGGGGUUGCUUGGUGCCGGAUGGAGAUGGUGGCUUGCCAUGAGUGGUCUGCGUAGGACUGGCGAGUGUGAUGGCCUGGACAUUGUUUACUCAGACUGAACAGCAAACUAGCGAGGGAGGGUCGUCUGCUGAUUGAGCCACACCUGGGAUCAAGUGGCUCAAACGGCUUAAAAGCUCCCUCACUUCCAGCGUGACUGUCCCUCAUCCAUUCCUGUGUCAGGAAUCGUUGUCAGACCUCCAGGGACCUUAAAAAUGAGUGGGCACUGUGGAGAAAUUGGACUUAUUCAGCAAGGACAGUUGGAAACCAACUUCUUGAAGCUGGACUGAAGUCACACAGGGCAGGAAGAAGCCCUUCAUCAAGGAAAGACAGAGGAAAGCUGGUUACUCUUUACUGGGAUCACAAGGAUUGGACUGUUGAUGAUUGGACUAAGGUUCUCUUCAGGGAUGAAUCCAGUUUUCAGUUGAUGUCCACUCCAGUCAGCUUACUGGUUAGGAGGAAGCCUGGAGAAGCUACAAACCAGACUGUCUUUGUCCUACAGUAAAACAUGGGGGUGGAUCAGUGACCAUCUGGGGUAGUUUCAGUCUGGGUGGAACAGGGCAAAUGAACCAGGUCAUGUUUGGGGCUACUCUUGAAAACAGUCUUCUUCCAUCAGCUGGAAAACUCUUUCCUGCCUCCAAUGACUGGAUUUUCCAACAAGACAAUGUCACUGACCACACGACAAGGUCAGUUAAAGCCUGGAUGGAGAACCAGAACAUUGGAACCAUGUCUUGGCUGCUCAAUCACCAGAUCUAAAUCCAAUAGAAAACCUGUGUAAAAUCAUCAAACGCAAAAUAGAGAACCACAAGCCCAAAAACAAAGCUAAUUAGUAGAAUUAGUGCAACAGGAAUGGGCUGCUGUGACAGCAGAAAAAUGUCAGAAGCUGGUGGAGAGCAGCCAAGAUGCAUGGAUGCAGUCUUUAGAAACAAAGGUUAUGCAAUCAAAUACUAAGUCCUGUGUGUAUCAUGUGACUAAAACAGACAGAAAAGAAAACAUGGAAUCCUAGAAGCUGUUUUUGGCAGAACAAUGCCAUAGAUACUGAUGGAAGAACUUAUAUGAUUUUGGUUAUUACCAAGAAAACCAUGGAAAAUGGCUAGAUAUCAGCUCUGAAAUGAAACUCUUAUGAGCUAUUUUUGUUAUCAUUAUAUUUGUCCAAACAAAUGUACCAUUUAGUACUACCAGGCAUUAAAAUGAA
Long non-coding RNA from Amphiprion ocellaris (clown anemonefish), 1603 nucleotides. The record is from Ensembl. NCBI's taxonomy places the organism in Eukaryota, Metazoa, Chordata, Actinopteri, Pomacentridae.